CCUACGGGUGGCAGCAGUGAGGAAUAUUGGUCAAUGGGCGUAAGCCUGAACCAGCCAAGUCGCGUGAGGGAUGAAGGUUCUAUGGAUCGUAAACCGCUUUUAUAAGGGAAUAAAGCGCGGGACGUGUCCCGUUUUGUAUGUACCUUAUGAAUAAGGAUCGGCUAACUCCGUGCCAGAAGCUGCGGUAAUACGGAGGAUCCGAGCGUUAUCCGGAUUUAUUGGGUUUAAAGGGUGCGUAGGCGGAUUUUGAAGUAAGCGGUGAACGUCUGUGGCUCAACCAUAGAAUGGCCGUUGAAACUGGGAGGCUUGAGUAUGUUUGAGGCGGGCGGAAUGCUUGGUGUAGCGGUGAAAUGCGGAGAUAUCUCGCAGAACCCCGAUUGCGAAGGCAGCCUGCCAAGCCAUGACUGACGCUGAUGCGCGAAAGCGUGGGGAUCAAACAGGAUUAGAUACCCCGGUAGUC
Molecule: ribosomal RNA, 460 nt
Filed under: uncultured bacterium
Lineage: Bacteria
Description: partial 16S ribosomal RNA
Rfam family: Bacterial small subunit ribosomal RNA
Source: RNAcentral